AGAUGUCUUUGAAUACACCAUCGAACAUGCAUCGAAUGAUAUCAGCAGUGAGUAUUGUGAACAAGAACAGAAAAUGUAUCGAGAGCUCUACCAGCGACACAACAGUCUUCUGGCCACGUUUAUUGGAAAAGAAUUCGAAACGGUAAAACAGUUCCUCUUUCUUUCAAUUCUGUUGGUUCUUGGGGUUUAUUUCAGGUUGAUGGGAAAUUGAUGAAAGCCACAAAAUCUCAUCUGUCUGUUUCUCUGUCUGUCUGUUUCUAUGUCGACUUGCCUGCCAACGACGGCGACAACAACAACAACUAGAACUCCAUUAUUUGAGAAAGUUUUCCUUAUAAAUGGAGGUCGGGGUGGGGGUGUGUGAAAUAUUCAAGAUUUCUUACUCCCAUAAUUUGU
Molecule: long non-coding RNA, 393 nt
Organism: Octopus bimaculoides (California two-spot octopus)
Lineage: Eukaryota; Metazoa; Mollusca; Cephalopoda; Octopoda; Octopodidae
Source: RefSeq, a predicted model, not a curated record